RNAcentral lists this ribosomal RNA (87 nucleotides) under Chloropicon mariensis. Its description in RNAcentral is "partial 5.8S ribosomal RNA". It matches the Rfam family "5.8S ribosomal RNA", at positions 67 to 153 of the family's 154-position model. Rfam says of the family: 5.8S ribosomal RNA (5.8S rRNA) is a component of the large subunit of the eukaryotic ribosome. The record is from RNAcentral. Lineage: Eukaryota; Viridiplantae; Chlorophyta; Chloropicophyceae; Chloropicales; Chloropicaceae.
GUGAAUUGCAGAAUUCAGUGAAUCAUCGAAUCUUUGAACGCAUCUUGCACUCUCUGGUAUUCCGGAGAGUAUGUCUGUUUGAGUGUC